GAUGAACGCUGGCGGCGUGCCUAAUACAUGCAAGUCGAGCGAACAGACGAGGAGCUUGCUCCUCUGACGUUAGCGGCGGACGGGUGAGUAACACGUGGAUAACCUACCUAUAAGACUGGGAUAACUUCGGGAAACCGGAGCUAAUACCGGAUAAUAUAUUGAACCGCAUGGUUCAAUAGUGAAAGACGGUUUUGCUGUCACUUAUAGAUGGAUCCGCGCCGCAUUAGCUAGUUGGUAAGGUAACGGCUUACCAAGGCAACGAUGGGUAGCCGACCUGAGAGGGUGAACGGCGACAGUGGGACUGCGAUACGGGCCAGACUCGUAUGGGAGGCAGCGGUGGGGAAUCGUGAAAAAUGGGAGGAAGCAUGAUGAAGCAACGUUGGGAGCGGGAUGACGGCUGUCGGGUGGUAAACCGCAUUCGCCUGUGACGAAGAGGGAGUGACGGUAAUGGGUAAAGAAGCAACGGCUAAUUACGUG
This 477-nucleotide ribosomal RNA is filed under the name uncultured bacterium. RNAcentral's name for it is "partial 16S ribosomal RNA". It matches the Rfam family "Bacterial small subunit ribosomal RNA", at positions 28 to 507 of the family's 1533-position model. The record is from RNAcentral.